This is a long non-coding RNA of Epinephelus moara (kelp grouper), 1420 nucleotides long. RefSeq lists it as uncharacterized. The record is from RefSeq and is a predicted model, not a curated record. NCBI's taxonomy places the organism in Eukaryota, Metazoa, Chordata, Actinopteri, Perciformes, Serranidae. The transcript is spliced from 4 exons.
CUUUGGCCUCCAGCUUGCCCUGUGCUCCGUUUGUACACACUGCAAAGGAUGCUGGGUGAUUCACCUUCAGACCAGACUCCUACCAAGGUCGGACACACACAGUGUGCAGGGAUGGACAGAUGAACAGGGAAGACAUUAAGAGCCCUUUAGCAAGGCAGGGCAGGCUGGGUGUGGAGGUGUCUCCUCAUGCCUCACCUGAAGGCCGGCAACAGUGAGGCGGCGUGCAUCGUUCGCUGGAGCAACAACAGGAACAAGGCUCCUGAGCAAUGUAAGAGACACCGCAAGAGCCGUCUUUGCGGUCCUCGAAGGAGAUCUCCGCCCUGCUGGGUCCCUCCAUGGCGAUCGAGAGACCACCGGCCCCCGCCUCCCUUGUCCAGAUACUGAAGUCAGCUGAGAAAGAGAGGGCUACAACGCACCCUCCACCCUGGCACCACCCUCCGGGCAGCAGGCAUCAACGACCCAAACACCCCUCACUGCCCUCGUCCCCCUUGCCAGCACCAGACCAGAGAGGCCAGAGAUGAGGCGCACGUGCCCAGGGAAGAAGCUCUGAUCCUGCGCAACGGCAGCGGAACGAGUUCUGCAACCACUGGAUCUUCCAGACCACCAGAGGGAGCAGUAGGAGCGGGAGGAGGUGGGAGAAAGGAGAUGCCGAGAUAACGCCAGAAGGAACCAGCUCACUGGAGGAAGAGAAGGGAACGAGGACAAAGAGGUGGAAGAAGAAGAAGAGAGGAACAAUUGGUGACAGGGACAGAAGACAAAGGAGGAGAAGAUAAGAAGAAACUGAAGAGGAAAAGAGAGAAGAGGAGAAAGUGGAUUUGGACAAAACAAGAAAAAGACAUACAAACGAGGAAAGAUUAGGGCAGAAAAGAAGACAAACUGACAGACGAAGGAGAGAUGAAGAAAUGUCAAAAUAGAUUUUUUUUAAAAGGAGGCAGGGUGACAAAGGGAAAGACGGAAGAAGAGGGAAAGAGACAGGAAAAGAAGAGAUUAAGAAAGGACAAGACAAAGCUAACAGACAACAGUCAUUACAAAGCAGCAGAAAGAAACGAGACAGAAACUAGAGAAAUGUCAUAACUUCAGACAUGAAACAGUUUUAGAAAAGGAGGAGCUGCUCUGGUGUUGCAGGACGUGUUCAGUCCGAGCAUGUCUCCAGAUUUCAGCUGGGCAGAACGCUGACAGUCUGUGACACAUCGAGACUUAACAAGUUUAAGACCCGCUCAUUUGUACCUUUUAUUGACCAAUAAAACAACCAAACACCCAAUGUCUACAUGUGAGGGAUACUAACAAGACGAAAUCUACUGCGCCUGCCAUCAAGGUGGUCCAAUCAUGAGCCUUCAGACUAGUGAGGAGAGAAAGCGUGUGUGUGUGUGUGUGUGUGUGUGUGUGUGUGUGUGUGUGCGAACUGUAUUGUACCUGGUAU